UUUAAUUCCAAAUCAGAUCUAGAAUUUUGGGGCAGAGUAGAGAGGUCCUUGGUGAGUGGUGAACGAAAAUUCUAAGUGUGCUAAGUGUUGAGGCUGACUUGGUUUAGCAAGGGAGGGAGGAGUUACUCUCUUUGAAGAAGAAUUUAAGGUGUACAAGUCUUCAAGAGGUAAGGGGAGCUAACUCAAACUUUGGUUUUAGAAUUUCAUGGAUGUGGGUAUGAUUUCAGUUGCUUGAAUCUUGGAUAUGAUGGGCUGAAUGGAGAUUUAUUUGGUUAAAUGUUUGGUAUGAUUUAAAGGAGAUGAUACAAAUGGAAUUUUUUUACCAUAUCUUUGGUCUAUGGAUUUUGUAUGAACUUUAUGAUGAAAAAUUGAUGGAUAUAUGUUGGAUUGAAGGUGGAUUUUCUUUCUAACAUGUUGAUAUACAAGUAUAUGAAGUUUUUAAUGUAUUAAGUGGUGAAUUGGGAUGAGAAACAUGAGACUUAUGCCUCACUUUUUAUCAAAUACGAAAAUGGUCAAAUUUGAAUGGUUGAUAAAUUUUGGAUGGAUGGGUUGAUUUGUUGUAUGGAGAUAUUUAGCAAGAUGAAAGUAUGAUGAGUAAAUCAUCAAAAUUUUGAUAUUUCAAAGUUUAUGAGAUGGAAAAUGGUAGAUCUAAAGGAGUGUCUUGUUGAGUAAAAAUUGAUGAUGAACUUUGAGAAAUUUACUUAAAUAUUGAAAAAUUUCAAAUCUAUUUUUGAUUAUGGAUGAAUGAAUAUGAAUGUUGUAGUGAGAUCUUUGGGCUAAGAAUAAUCUUCACUAGGAUGAAAAUUUUGAGCAUGUGUUAAUGGAAAGGAGAUGUAUUAUAAUUUGGAUUGAACAUUGAAUUUUCAUAUGGAUGUUAUGGUAUAAGUUGUUAGGAGAUUUUAAAUUGUCUAAAACCUUGAAAAUCAUGGAAAACAUAGGGGUUUUCUCUUAGAUAUUUUUGGUGUACGAAAAUUUCAUAUGUUGAAGGGUAAUGAGCUAAGAUUCAUGAUAUGUAUGAGGGGUUAGAUGUGUUCUCUAUAUUUUAGAUGAAAUUAAUAGUAGAAAUUCUCUUGAAAUAUGGGUUGAAUUGGUGAAAAUGGAAUAUGAUUAUAUAUAAUAUUUUUGUUGUUGUUAGAAAGAUUAUUUUUAUGACAAUCCAUGAAGUUUUCAGAUUUGUUACACAUAAAUAAAUCUUGUUGUUUAGUGCUGUAAAAAUACUGUUACUGUAUUAAAAAUUUCUUGCUGUUACUGUAUUUAAAUUGUUUGCUGUUUGUGCUGUAAAAANAAAUUUCUUGCUGUUACUGUAUUUAAAUUGUUUGCUGUUUGUGCUGUAAAAAUACUGUUACUGUAUUGAAAUUUGUUGCUGUUACUGUAUUUAAAUUGCUUGCUGUUUGGUGCUGUUUGGGUGCUGUUACAGUAUUUAAAUUGCUUGCUGUUUGGUUUUAAAAUAUGUUAAUUUAAAUAUAUCUUAUAUUUUGAUAAAUGGAUGGUGUGUGUGAGUUAUUUUGGGAUUUGAUGUAACAUAAUUUGGGGUUGUUUGAAUGUUUAAAAAUCUCGGUUGAAAGGUUAUUAUUAUGUGAUAAAUUAUUGGUGAAUAUGUGUAAUUUUGAUUGGAUUGGUCUUGUUAUAUGAGUGGUGGAUAGUAAGCGUUGCGGUUGUUGGGCCGGAGAAGCUCUGGAAGAGUGAUGGUAAGCAACCCUACACACGGGUGAUGUGUGUAACCGCCCGGGGAAUCUCUUGCAUUGAUGCAAGAGUGAUGGGGGUGACGUGGGAUACUAGUCCGGUGAAUCUCGUAUAAAUUAAUAACUGCCCGGGGAAGCUCUAAUAAGAGUGAUGGGAGUUCACGCUAUGCAUAUUGGUGUAUGCAUUCUAAUUUGGUGUUUGAUGCAUAUUGGUGUAUGCAUUUUGAUAUGUUGUUUGAUGCAUAUUGGUGUAUGCAUUCUGAAUUGGUGUUUGAUACAUAUUGGUGUAUGUUUAUCGUAAUGAUUGUUGGCUCACCCUUGCUUGUGUGUGCAUGUGAAUGCGAUGAUCGUAUAAUGCGUGAUGUUAUACG
RNAcentral lists this long non-coding RNA (2053 nucleotides) under Vigna radiata. Its description in RNAcentral is "long non-coding RNA (VRAD_LNC018366)". Lineage: Eukaryota; Viridiplantae; Streptophyta; Magnoliopsida; Fabales; Fabaceae. The record is from RNAcentral.